UUGUACUUAAAAAUUAUUUAAUCAAUAAAAUUGGAUUCUUUUUUAUAGAGGGCCCCCUCCUUUUUUUUUGUAUUCUUUUCCUUCUCUUUCAUCUUCUUAUACUAAUCUGAGUCAUGGUGCUCUUGUCUCCCAAUGACAGUGUCCUGUCGAAGCUCUCCCCCUGCCACAGGGGAUUCCUCUGAAGUCGACGAUCCGAGACCUCAGAAGGGAAGUUCAUCAGUUGAUGAAGAAAUUCAAAAAGCUGGAAGAUAAACUUCAC
This 259-nucleotide long non-coding RNA is filed under the name Elaeis guineensis (African oil palm). RNAcentral describes it as "long non-coding RNA (EGUI_LNC055799)". The record is from RNAcentral. Lineage: Eukaryota; Viridiplantae; Streptophyta; Magnoliopsida; Arecales; Arecaceae.